RNAcentral lists this ribosomal RNA (494 nucleotides) under uncultured bacterium. RNAcentral's name for it is "partial 16S ribosomal RNA". It matches the Rfam family "Bacterial small subunit ribosomal RNA", at positions 28 to 507 of the family's 1533-position model. The record is from RNAcentral.
GACGAACGCUGGCGGCGUGCUUAACACAUGCAAGUCGAACGGAAAGGCCUGCUUUCCCUUGUGGUUUGCGGGUACUCGAGUGGCGAACGGGUGAGUAACACGUGAGUGAUCUGCCCCCAACUUGGGUAUAAGCCUGGGAAACUGGGUCUAAUUCCCGAUAGGACUGCAGGGUGGUGCCUGUGGUGGAAAACGAUUUUCUAGUGGUUGGGGAUGAGCUCGCGGCCUAUCAGCUUGUUGGUGGGGUAAUGGCCUACCAAGGCGGCGACGGGUAGCCGGCCUGAGAGGGUGGACGGCCACAUUGGGACUGAGAUACGGCCCAGACUCCUACGGGAGGCAGCAGUGGGGAAUAUUGCACAAUGGGCGGAAGCCUGAUGCAGCGACGCCGCGUGGGGGAUGACGGCCUUCGGGUUGUAAACUCCUUUCGACCGCGAGGAAGCCACCUGGUUGGAAGGGUGGUGACGGUAGUGGUAGAAGAGGCACCGGCUAACUACGUG